RNAcentral lists this unclassified non-coding RNA (19 nucleotides) under Mus musculus (house mouse). Its description in RNAcentral is "oocyte_clustered_small_RNA13429". The record is from RNAcentral. Lineage: Eukaryota; Metazoa; Chordata; Mammalia; Rodentia; Muridae.
AGACACGGACGGCGGCGCG